This 113-nucleotide ribosomal RNA is filed under the name uncultured bacterium. RNAcentral describes it as "partial 16S ribosomal RNA". It matches the Rfam family "Bacterial small subunit ribosomal RNA", at positions 1369 to 1482 of the family's 1533-position model. The record is from RNAcentral.
CGUUCCCGGGUCUUGUACACACCGCCCGUCACACCAUGGGAGCGGGUUCUGCCAGAAGUAGUUAGCCUAACCGUAAGGGGGCGAUUACCACGGCAGGGUUCGUGACUGGGGUG